GAGUGGCUCGGGGCGCGAGUGCCGUGUGGACAGCCGCGCUCACGCGCGGGCGUGGGGCAUGUCGCACACCUGCCCUCACGGCUCACGCUCAUGACGAGCCAGCCAGCCAGGAGCCAGCCAAACCGCCUCCACGCCGCGUUUUCCCGAUCUGGAAAUUUACCACGAGAGCGUCGUGACUGCCACAAACAUACGAGCACUGGGCACUGGUGAAUGAACGAGAGUGACCUGACCCCCGUGCGGCCGUCCGCCGUCACCGACCGAGCGCCGGGUCCCACCACUCCCCGUCCCCAACCCCUCGCGCUCGCUCCAGCCUCCAGCAACCGCGCUCCCUGUUCCUUUCCUUCCCAGGCGGCCAGGCCCAGCAGCGUGAAGUGAGGCCAGCUAGCCUAUUAUCAGCCUAUGGCGGCUCGGAUUGGAGCGGACGGGAAGGCGAUGGCACGCCGCGGCCGCGUGGAGCUGCGGCGGAUCGAGGACCGGGUGAGCCGGCAGGUGCGCUUCUCCAAGCGCCGCUCGGGGCUCUUCAAGAAGGCCUUCGAGCUCUCCCUGCUCUGCGACGCCGAGGUCGCCCUCAUCGUCUUCUCCCCCGCCGGCAAGCUCUACGAGUACGCCUCCACCAGGCAAAAGGCGUGGUGCGUCACUUAUCCAUUCAAACACAGGAAUUUGUUGCAAUCACGGGAUUGUAGAAGAAAACUACAAGAUGUGAUGAUGCUGAUGCUACAUAAGUCAUGCUAAAAUGUCUCGUUUAUUGAAGUAUUGUAUCUCAAAUAUAUUAUUUUUUAAUUUCUUUAUCUUGUAGUUUAUAUUUGAGAUUUUAUUAUUAUAUUUAGUCACUGCACACUCUCAUUAAAAGAGUAACGACCUUUUUGGUGACUAAAGAUGCUUAUGAAGAAGGGAGAUUGCUAUUAAAGAUUUAUGUAUUACAUUGAGCCCUUAUACGAUUUAUAUAGAGUACAUGACAUAAGAGACAAGGCAACCCAUAGAUACAUGUGGCAAUUCGAGACACAAUAUCUAGACUAUCAAAUAUACUCUAACACUCCACAAUCAUAGAGGGAGCAUGGUAGACGUUUAGACUAUAGAAGUCUAUAUGGACUAAAAUCCCCCAUAGUCGUGACGUUGUCGGAGUGCAGAUGCAACGACUUGGAGAAGAAACCGACGAGAAGCUGAUGUAGACGAUAGUUCUCUGUGUCGAUGUUGAGGUAGCCUAGUACAAGGAUGAACAGUUGUGGUCGAUAAUCUUGCAAAGGAUAGUUGUGGUCGAUGAAAGCUAUCGAGGUCACUAAGAAGUAGGAGCCACACAAGUCGUGUGCUUGAUGUGUUGUGGUGAUGGUGGCGAAUAGAAGGAAGCACCAUAGACAAAGAUGGUGAUGCAGUCAAGGCAGUCAAUGGAGAAGGUCGAUGGCGAAGUCGACAUUGUCGAAUCAACGUGGCUGAGGCAUGUGUGAGGUUUACUAGCUAAGCCCAAAAACACACCGGGGAUGAAGGUACGCACCAGUGUUGCUAGCAAAAGACAUACUAGGUAGAGGACCCCAACCAUACGUCAGUGUCUAAAGUGACUAGCAGAGAAGGCCUCCGCGAUAGUUGCAAUGUGUAGAAGAACAACGAGGAAGCAUGUGUCAAUGCACCAAUGGUUGUCGGUGUGGAUGAAGUAGACGAGGACAGAGGACGACACUGGCAACGAGAUUGUGAUGGACGAAGUCAAAGAAGUAGAUGGUUGACACAUCUAGGGACCCAGAGUGGCAGUGGUGAGAUCUGCAUUGCGCAAGGAGUCAUGGUGGUGCUAGAGUGUUGCAACAGUGGUGCUUAAAGAAGAUGACGAAGAGCAUGAACGGUCCAGGUAUACCAUGUGAGAGAGGCGCACAACGACGUAGUCGACGGUGAUGUAGGGGCAAUACAAGGAUGAAAAUAGGCGACGAUGGCGCAAAACCCGACCAAUUAGGAAGAAAAAGGGACCCACAACAACAACAAAUUUUGUUACAUCACCAAGUACCCACAAAUAGUCCAUUCUCCUAACUCAACUCACCCUCCUUAUCCUCGAUCAGAAGACUGAAAGAGGGAGAAAGAGAUAAACCACGAUCACAAAGGCUCGACUUGGCUAACAGGGAGAGGCACAUAGCCUAGCACAACCAACAUCCUCUUUUUCUUUGGCAGGGGUCUUAAUGGCUUUGUUGCUUUUCUCCUCAAAUAAAUCUCCAAAGAUCGCAUCCAUUGGAUUCACUAUGCAGGGGAGGCUAGGCAAUGCCUCUUUGAGCUUGUCGCCUGAUGUAUCCUCCUAGGCGGGCUUUUUCUCGACCUACUUCGACAUAGAAUCAAAGUUAACAAGGUCGACCCCGAAAGGACUUAAAAAUACCAUGAUGUUUGUUUUGUCAUUACCUCAAUUUUCUGAGCGUUCAGAACAAGACUCUUCAACAACAGCUCGUACAUGUUCUUCAGUGGUAGGGGUCUUUGCAAUGCCAGCAGGCUUCUCUGAGGCAACCUUAGAGGCCUCGACCUAGACCUUCUACUUCUCACCUUCAUGGUGUUUCCUUUCAAAGCGCUUGGGUGCUAGCAACUUUUCCUUUGCCACAAUCUCACUACCCUUGUAUUUUGCCUUUGGCUUCAAGGACUUUGUCGGAGGGCCCCCUCUAGCCUCCUUUUCACUAAUCACUCAACCCCUAUCUAUAAUUCUUACUUUGCAUUUCCUCUGCAAUCUAGCAUCAUGAUCGACAAUGAGGUUGGGGUAGUCUAGAUAUUCUAAGUCAUAUGCUUUGAUCACACGAUUAUGUAUUCUCUUUAUUGCCACUCACUAUCGCACUAAGUAGAUGAUCUCUUUCACAAUAUAGUUGCAUAAAACUUUGUUAGCAACUGUCUCCACCAUAAUGAGCCACUCAUUGCUCGGCUUUAUGAAGAUGCUGAAGGGAUUGAAUUUAUAAGGUAACUGAAUCAUCUCUCGAGCUUCAAUCUCCUUCGUGUUGUCCUCAUCUUUUGGCUUAGGUAUCUCCUAGCCAACUUUCAUAGGAAAUACAUGGUAGGCAAUAUGCUCUUGAAUUCGUCUCUUAGCACCCUAGGGGUCAAGGGUGACAAAGCCCAUGGGCUCACACGGCCUCUCCAGAAUCGUCACCACGACAACACGUGGAUGUCGUCUGCCCCACAACCAUCACCAUGAUUGCAUGCACAAAGGACAAAGGCAUGAUCCAACCGGUAGGAGAGCCCAACAACCACCAUGACAUGUAGAGAAACCAGCGAGCCUCUGAUUUGUUGAAGCUUGACAAUACAAUAACGACGAUGAACGCGACAAAUCAGAAGGAUUAGUCAUGCAUCCUAACUACGAGAGCGCAACUCUUGAUGGAGAUCAAUUUCCUCGAGGCAGCGCGACGACGACAGCAGAAGGGGAAGCCUAAGUCAUAGCCUAAACUCGUUAUACCAUGUUAGGGGGGUUUGCCAUCAAGGAUUGAUGUAUUGCAUUAAGCCCUUAGGCAGUUUAUAUAGAGCACAUGAGUAAGAGACAAGGCAAAUCAUGGAUAUAUAUGACAGUAGACGAGACACAAUAUCUAGACUACCAAAUAUACUUUUAACAACUUCUAACAACUAAAUAUAAAAUAUCUAAAAUAUUUGUUGAGAAGUUAACAUAUGAGAGAGAACCUAUAACUGUGCAACUAAUAUAAGAAAAAUAACAUAAACAUAUAACAAUGGGAAAAUUAUGACACGCUAAUAAGUCACAAACAAAAAUAACAACUAAUUAUGAAAUUGACAUGUAGUUGAGUAUUUAUACAAUGAUAUAUAUAAUAUCGAAAGUGCUUUCGAUAAUAUUAUGUUAGUUGAUCAACCGUGCUCAUAACUUGGUUGGAGAUAAAUCAUAAAUUCACAUUCUUUGUCACAAUUUAUUACAAGUUUCUAUUGUCCAAAAUAUUAUGGUUUAAACAAUUCAAUUUCUAUAGUGCAUGGGCAUGAUGCCUAAAAGCUUACUAGACUCUCUUCUCUUAUCAUUUUUUCCUAGAGCAUAUCUUUUGUUGCCCUAAAAGGUAAAAACCUAUCACUUGGGGGUCGCUCUCAAGUUUUGAAUGUAUACUCCACUUAUUUCAUUUGUUCGAUGUCCUCUCAGCUUUCAUUCUCAACUGAGCAUAUUUAGCCUUCAAGGAAGGGAAAGAAAAAGAGGAGACAAGAAAAACUUGGCUAUCAACUUCACUUAUAUAUCAAUGGAAGAAAACCAACUUCUAUUGGGCAGGGCCAUGUGCAUCAACUAGACUCUAGCACCCCCAACACAAAACCUGUCAUGAAAAAAAGGCGUGCCCAUACUGUGUCUAGUAGAUUCAGAACAUUUGAAGAUGGAAACUUCUUGUUGGGAGUGUGUGGAAGAAAACUUAGAAAGCUAAAUCCAACUCGGGAAACAUGGGGAAAUUAAUUACAAAUAUUUAGAAAGAGUGCAAAAAGCCCAACCAAACAUUUAGCUAACGACUGCGCCUUCUUAGAACCCACCCUACACGCCCUGAAACUUCUUGGCUUUUCCACAUGGAGCAUAUAGAGCUAGUCACUUUGACUUCUCUAGUACCUAAUCAUAACUUCAGAACCUAGACAGCCUAGAUGGUUGUCUCGGUAUGUAGUGGUCCAAACUCUACAGUCAGAUACAAGGAACAUCACAUUACAUUAAUAAAUAUGAUAGGGCAUAUAUGGUAGAGAAAAGUCUAUUAUUCAAACAGUUAACUUGGACAUCUGGAAUCUAGAUGACAUCAUAUCGAGAACUCUCAAAGGUAUACAUUAUCUUUCAUUCAUUCUUCAACUGAAUAGAUUUGAAGCCCAUGAAUGCAUAUUUUUUCUAAUCUGUAUCACCCAUCGGAAGUCCAUGUUUUUCCUUUAAAAUCCUUGUCCAUAGAAAGUCUAUUUUUAUUGCCUUUUUGGUUUGAUCCUAGACCUUCAUAUAAAUAUCCGAACCUUUUUUCCCAGUGAUCUACUUCUAAAUACACACCCUUUAUUUUUGAAAUUAUGAUAACAAACCCACAUACCAGAUUUAUCCGCAUUAUGAUUCAAGGGAAGAAAAGGUAAAAGAAUAUAAAUAAGGAGUUCGUAAACAAAAAAUGUCCUAGGUAUUUACAUUUACUUGUGUAAUUGCUUGAUACAAGCAUUUCAUUGGUUAUCCACUUGCGUAUAUGACUAGUAGCUCCUCUUUGAUACAACAUGUCAUUUUAGGACAAAAUUUGGUCAAACCUUGAAAACUACGAAGAUCAAUAACUUUUAAAUCUUUAGGUUUGGAUACAUGAUAUAUUUGCAUAUUUGUAUAAUAAAAUAGUUAUAAAAUCUUGAAAAUAUAUUCUAGAUGAUAUUGGUGGUCCAAGAUAUGCAUCAAAGACCAUGUAAAGUUAGAUGUGACAGAUAGGUUGUAUCAUGGCUCAGUUCUGAUGUUUUUAUAUGAUCAAGAAUAUAGCAACGAAAACUCUUAAAACAUCUAGAGAAACAGUGGUCCGAAACCUUUAUGAGAACUAAGUAGAGUAGAAUAGUAGUAUGGAAUGUGAUGGACCAGGGCAUGAACUCAAUAUCAUGAGGAAAAAGGACAUCAUACUAAUAAACUGUAUUUGACUGUAAGAUUCAGGAUGUAAUUCAUAAUAAUAUACUCACCUCCAAUAAAACUGCCUGCAUUUUUGUUCCACGUGAGGUGAAUAUAUAGAUGUUGAUUGUCCAAGAGUACAUUAUGCAAGGAGCUAAUAUCAUAUUCAUUUUUUUUCUCCUUUUUCAGCAUAGAGGAUACAUAUAACCGCUAUCAGCAAUUUUCUGGAGAAGGAAGGAAUAUAAAUGACGAUCGAAAUAGAAACGAUAACAAGGAUGAAGCUUCUUCAGAUUUGCAGUUGAUGCUGAGCAAGAUUGCGACCUGGUCUCCCCAGAGCAAUGCUGACGAAUCAGAUGUAGAUGAGCUGGAGAAGCUGGAAAAUCUUCUGAGAAAUGCUUUGAAGGAUACGAGAUCCAGGAAGAUUCAGAUGUUGGCGAAACAAAACAGCGGAGCUAGUACAAGCGGCCAGAAAAGUCCGGAGCAAGGAACGGCGUGAGCACGGAUCUGUCCAGCGUCCACCUACCUGGGAUUGCUCUUGCUUCCCCUUGCCGAUGGAUGCUUGUACUGAUUAUGACCUUGUGGGUUGCGAGACCCUGUGCUAGCUUUGGGCCUGCCAACCUGCAGUGUCCCUGGAGGGGACGGAGCUAGUGUAUGUAGUUUGAUGUUCCCUUUGUGUGUUGUGAUAUGCAGCCUACCUAAUGGCCAGAGCUUGGUGCUGCAAAUCCUGCAGCUGAUCUGGUUGCGUUUCAUGCUUGACAGUAUAUACAGCAUACUACUGUGUUUUAGUUCCUACAGACACUUGCUCAGAUGAAACAACUGGGCUAGGAAAAUCUAUCGAGCAAAAUGAUGGUAUUGCAUAAUA
Molecule: RNA transcript, 6377 nt
Organism: Zea mays
Lineage: Eukaryota; Viridiplantae; Streptophyta; Magnoliopsida; Poales; Poaceae
Gene name: MADS-box transcription factor 51
Exons: 5
Source: RefSeq, a predicted model, not a curated record